ACACGCAUGACACACUGCAUAUCAAUAAGCGGAGGAAAAGAAACUAACAAGGAUUCCCUUAGUAACGGCGAGUGAAGCGGGAAGAGCUCAAAUUUGAAAUCUUCGAGGUUCUACCUUGACGAAUUGUAGUUUAUAGAAGUGUUUUCUGUUAGUAGAGUGGCAAAAGUUCUUUGGAAUAGGACAUCAUAGAGGGUGAGAAUCCCGUAUUUGGUCAUUCUUUCUAGCUUUGUGAUACACUUUCAACGAGUCGGAUUGUUUGGGAAUGCAGUCCAAAAUGGGUGGUAAAUUUCAUCUAAAGCUAAAUAUUGGCGAGAGACCGAUAGCGAACAAGUACCGUGAGGGAAAGAUGAAAAGAACUUUGAAAAGAGAGUUAAACAGUACGUGAAAUUGUCAAAAGGGAAGCGUUUGACACCAGUGUUGUUUUUCCGAAAAUCAAUUACGAAUGUUUUAUUUUUGAGAAGUUAUGACUUCAUCGGCUUGCUUCUCUCUUUAUGAAACUUUCUUAAUGCACUUUUCGGUUAACAAGUCAACAUCAAUUUCUUUUGUUGUAAAAGGGUAUGAGGAAAGUGGCUUUCUUUUCGGAGAAAGUGUUUAUAGCCUUGUACCUCUGCAAUCGGAGAGAUUGAGGUCUGCAGCGUAGAUCCUUCGGGGUUAGAUACGUAGAUGCUAAGUUAUAGUUUUUUAUAGACAACUUGUUGACUAUGAUUAAUCAUGUAGCUUACUCGUUUACGCUAUUUUACCUACGCUUAGGAUGUUGAGCGCAUGUCUCUCUCU
This 774-nucleotide ribosomal RNA is filed under the name uncultured Neocallimastigales. RNAcentral's name for it is "partial large subunit ribosomal RNA". It matches the Rfam family "Eukaryotic large subunit ribosomal RNA", at positions 23 to 616 of the family's 3401-position model. The record is from RNAcentral. Lineage: Eukaryota; Fungi; Neocallimastigomycota; Neocallimastigomycetes; Neocallimastigales.